Molecule: long non-coding RNA, 1260 nt
Filed under: Helianthus annuus (common sunflower)
Lineage: Eukaryota; Viridiplantae; Streptophyta; Magnoliopsida; Asterales; Asteraceae
Description: hypothetical non coding rna
Source: RNAcentral
GAUUCUUCCAUUCUCACUCGAUCUAUUAUACAUAUAUAUAUGCUCCAUAUUUUCUUUAAGUAUUACACACAAAGCCAUGCCCUGUUUUAAGUAUAUUAACCCUUGAGCACUGAUACCUUGUCCGACUGACGUAGGGCCCCGUAACGUAUAUUAAGGCUCUGCCUAAAUUCGUUGGGGUUCUGUCUCUUGACGUAGGGAUAAAGUAGAAUUGGGUUACUAUACUUAAUGUGGGUGCACUAUAUAUUUUAUUAAAUAAUCCAGGAGUUGUACCCAAAAUAUAACAACCCUCCCGAAUAUUUUUCUGACACCCUGCACUUCCUAAAAUACACCCCAUAUGUGAAAACUAAACCCGAAAUAUAAUAUAACAUUGAAAAUAAUGGAAAACAAGAAAAAGUAAGUUGAGGCGGGCCGCGUAGACCCACCCCAACCUUUACGCGGGCGGUAUGAAGAUUGAUACCGGAUUCCUUUGAUUUUCUUAAGUUCAAGCGGGCCGCGUAAGCUACCCGUUAAGUUAACGCGGGCCGCGAGGGACUAAAAAGGUGGCACAGCCCGGUGCGGCCACGUGUCCCAACACCCGGCUAAGCUAGUUGUCGACUCAGCACAGCUACGCGUUGACCCAGCUUUGACGCGGGCCGCGUAAGCUUUGUGCUUAUGUUACGCGGGCCGCGAGAGACCCAGGUUCAGGCACUAUAUAAAGGAGGCAUCGGCUGUCCAUUUCAAUUCGUUCACAAUUCAUUCUCACUCUCAAAAUUUUGAAUUAGAGUUAUUAUACUCGGGUAUUAUACCCCCUAAUUAGCGAAACUCUGCCUCGUUGUAAGUAUCAUAACCCUUGGAUAUGUAUUAGAUACUCUGCCCGAUUGAUCUAGGGUUCCGUAACGGCUGUCGUGGUUCUGCCCGACGUAGUCGUUGGAAUGCCGUCUCGGGGAGGGUAUUACUAAUGUUAAAAUGGGUUAUUAUACUAACACAUGUGCAUUGUUUAUUUAAUUAGACUAUAACCAGGGAAUCACAAAGGAAAGCCCUAUAAUAGCAAUGUGAGUAAUCCUUCUUUUUGUGUAAACCUUUUUAUGAGUAACUUAGUAUGAAGUCAAUAAAAGCCAGCUGGAGAGCACUGGAGGCUUGAAAAAGUGGCAAUAAAGUUACCUAAAAUAAAAUAGAUGUUUUUAUUAAACAAAACAGGAUUUAUUACUAUGAAAUUGUGUAUACUACAAACUUGGGUUUUAUCCCAUGUGUUUAAUAUUAUGAAAAUAUGGUGGUUUUACU